GCGCAAUCGAUAUUAGCGCUUUCGAACUAUAACAAAAAAGCCAAGAAACAUACGAGAUACACGAAGAUGAGCAACAACCAAAGAUAAGGAAAUCAUUGUUGUUAUUAUUUGUAAAUCUGUUUGUAGAUGAUUUGUGCAUACAUGUUUCUAAUAUCUGCUUAACAAAACUCCAAUCUUUGUCAAGCGCCCAAACAUUGAGUAGAUAACACCGAUAGUGAUGAACACAAUGUUAAUUAGUAGUAAAGGUCACUAGUUAUAAGCAUAGUCAGUAAGCGAAUUCUCUGUAGUUGUUACUAUGGACCAAAUUACCUUGCGCAUUCUGCCACUAAAACCAGAAGUGGAAGCAAGUAGUUAUUUUUGAGUAGUACUAAGAUUUAUUUUGUUGAGCACCACCUAAACACAAUUCGGAAUCCAAUGUAGGACUAAUCUGCCGAAUCUGUGUACUAAGACUAGCAUAUGUCUAAAUCACUAUCAGGGCGAAAUCAAAUUUGACGAAAUUUUUGUGAAUGCCCGUUACACGUCAUUCACAAAAAUUUCGUUUGGAUUAGCUUGGUGUUGUAUUACGUAGCGGAGUUAUGUCGACUGGAUAUUUGGGUUAUUGUGUAACGAAUACAACCAUCCAACUGGCAACACUGCCACCAAGCAUAAAAGCAACGCGCGUACGCCAAUAAAGCGCCGCGACGCAAGCAAGACACCUACCAGCAGCAUUGACGACGCACAAAGAAAAAAUCUCUCACUCCUCGUACAAUCAUUGUACCGUUCAGUUCAUCGUGUACCCGAUCCACCAUCAUCCCGCAAAAGCGGUGCGGUUUUCGCCACCUCUCGAAUUUCCAGCCUAAAAGGACCGCAAGCGGUAAAGGUAACCAUUUCUCGAUCACAAUCCAGGUGAAUUCAGGCUAAAGACGUUCUUUCAACAGCUACUUGCACACGUCGGGUGGGUACACGCGACUGCAAGAGGAGAAAGCACCAAAUUAAGCACACACAUCGACGCCAUCAUCCAUUCCCACACGAGCCACACCGAGACCACCCAACAUGCUCCUUGAAGAAAGCCGUCCCUGAUAGAACCAAUUCAGCGAGAUUACAGGUAUCCGAUUCUGGCCGUACUGGCGCCAGUCAAAAGGAAAUAACGUCAUCAAUAAUCGUUGCACCACCUAGAGCAAAGGCCGCAUCCACGAGAAGGCUCUCAUCACGAGGGCCUUCUUAUCGUAUGCGCCUCUGCAUCGACGUCCCACCGGCGAUCAUCCAUCGACAGCACGCUUGUGCGUGUGUGUGACAGCAACACAUCUCGUCGGGACCGAGCGCCAAAAGAGUAGGACUGUGUUGGGAAGUUCAGUGUGUGAUUGUGCUGUGAGUCAACCAGGUACGUCUGACUGAGGCGACAUACUACACUCGGCGUGACUGUGUACGUGCAUGUUGGUGCUUGUGAAAGUUUACGUUGCCACCCAAUGAGACACGAUCAGUGCAUGGAGGAAGAUCGCAAUGAACGUGGCAUAUUAGCAAGAGAAAGACAACAGCAUAGCGGGUAGUGGUGGCGCAUUUGUGUGCGCGUCAUCGCGUCGUCGGCAGUGCAGUGCGUCGUGUAUGUGAGAGAAGUGAUGGAAUCGCCCACAGGCGUUCGAACAUUCGCUUUCCAAUAGGAAAAGCGCUCGAAUCAAUUAGCGCAUUCAGAGAAGAUAAUCAUCGUCAUCAUUCAUCACCGGGGGCCCCUGCAGCGCAUCGAUCAUCGGGCAGCAGAUUGUCGGCCGAAUACAGUGAGCUCGAAUAGUCUUAAGGUAGGCUUAGAUUAUAAGUUCGGGUGAGAAUGCACUAUGCAACAAUAUAUGCACAUUUGUAUGUUUUGAAAGAAGCUGGUGAAAGAUAGUUUUUUUCUUAUUGGCUGCCCGAGCACCUCACCAACAAAUAGUGUGCUUAGCCGGGCGUGAAUGUUAAAGGCAACAGGUCUCGGUUCACCCAAUGAGUUGAACCUUUCUGAUUUCGGCUCAGCUGAAGACGUCAUUGUUAUUAUUAUUUCUUCUUCCUUCGUUCGUUAAGAAGAAAAUAAAGAGGAUUGCAAUACAUUGUUCAUCAUCUUAUUUCGGCAUGAGCGAAACAUGCAAAAUUGUUGCAAAUGAUUGGGGAAAAGGGUGGCGUACGCCCCAUUCCCGAGAAAUGGCAAAAAAUAUCGUUUUGGCAAUAAAUAGCUGAAUCUCAAUUCAGCGGUUUGUUGCACCUGGAGGAAUCUUCGAAGGAUUUUCUGGAGAAAUUCCUGAAAAAUUCUUGAGGAUAUUCCUGGAGAAUUUCCUGGUAGAUUUUCUGAAAAAAUCUUCAGAAUAAUUUCUGGAAAAAAUCCUGGAGAAACUUGACAUAAUUUCUAAAGGAUGUCCAGGAGCAAUUCUUGGAUCAAUUCCUAGAGAAAUUGCUGGAGGAAUUCCUGAAGAAAUUCCUGGGGUAAUUCCUGGAGAAUUUCCUGGAAUAAUUCCUGGAGAAAUUCUUGGAUAAAAUCCUGGAGGUUCUCCUUUGGGAAUUGCUGGCGGAAUCCUUGAAGGAAUUUCAGGAGGAAUCUCUGAAGGAUCCCUCUCAGGGUUAUGGGGCAAGCUAUGGGGAUUCUGAUGGGAUGUCUUCCAAUACUGCAGGAGAAUUUCUCUCAGGGAUAAUCCUUAUCAGAUUUUCGGAAAAGUCUCUCUUGGGUUUCUAGAUAUAUUUCUCUGGAAUUACCCCUAUUAUGAUCCCUCUCAAGAUGCUGGGGAAUCACUCGUAGAAUUCUGAGGAAUACCUUCCGGGAUUCUGGCAGAAUUAUUCUCAGCAUUCUAAUGGAUUCCUCCCAGGAUAUUUUGAGAAUUCUGGGAGAAUACUUAAAAGGAUUCUGGAGGAAUUCUUCUAAAGAUUUUGGGGUCCUAUCUCCCAGAAUUCUGUGAGAGUAUAUCUCAGGUUUCUUUGGUAAUCCCGCCCAGUACUUUGAGGGAACCUUUCUCAGUAUUCUGGAGUAAUCCUUCUUAGGGAUUUAAGCUACCCUUUUCAGAAUUCAGGGUAAUUUCUUUUAAGUUUCUUGGGGAAUUAUCCUAGGAAUCCGAACACCUUUUUUGUGAGAAUCUCUCUAAGUAUUUUAGAUAAAUUUAUCUCAAGAAUGUGGAAAAACCGCUCUUGGAAUUCCUCGCAGGAUUCUUGGAGAAUUUAUCUUAGGAUUCUAGGAUAAUCCUAUUUCUUAAAAGAUUCUGCGGGAAUUUAUCCCAGUACUAUAUGGGAAUACUUCUGAUUGAUUGAUUUAUCUUUAUUAUAGAGACUUUCAGCCCUUGACUGAAAUACUUCUCAGAGUUCUGGGGAAUCUCAGGAUUUUUCUUUCGAUUCAAAAUGAUUAAUUUCCUUUUUUUUAAUGCACUAUCUCAUCGUUAUAUCCAUUUUCGCAUCAGAUUCACGAAGUGUUUGAUGUGCAUUCUCAAAUUUUGAUAUUGAAUUUUAGUAAAACAUACCAUGAACUUGAACUACAUGCUGCAAACGAAUCAUAUUAUACUUUUGUAAUAUUUUUUUUUGCAAUUUCUCAUCGUAAUAGGCUGUUUUACCUCACGCAAAUCUGACAGGAAAAGGCCUACUUUCCCACACCAAAUUAACAGUGCUGUAAUGGUUCAUUACAGCACUGAUUUGCGUUGCGUAAUGAACCAUUACAGCACUGUUUUCAGUUUUGAUCAACUUCUUGAUGCUUUCUGGACUCAGUUUUGAAAAAUUGUGACAACUGCGCAGUAUAACCAGUGGCGUCAUGGUCGCGGUUUUUUCCGCAGUCAAGUUUGCAGAUUGUGAACAAUCCUCAGUACCCACUUUACGUAGUUUAUGUUUAGUCCCUUACUGUCAGAGCUGUCAGAGCGGUGUAACACGCUAAAAAUAAUUUACACAAAAGGCAAUUUACACGGAAAAAAAUACACGGUAAUGAAUAUUUAUUGGGUACCGUCUACCCCCGUUGGUUUGACCUCAUCUAAUCUGAACACUUUUUAAUUUGACCCCCUCUAAUCUGCACAUCGUUCAAACUAAAAAUGGUUCAAACGUCAAUCCGCUAUUGGAACGGGGUGAAACGGAACGCAGAAUCAAAACAAAACAGCAAAAAGGGUUACCAUCAGUGUGUUUUUCGAUGUCCACAGGGUUACUAGAAGUUCAAAUUAGAAAAUGAACCCCGUUGGUUUGCAUGAGGUGUCGUUCAAACCAACGGGGGUAGACGGUA
Aedes albopictus (Asian tiger mosquito) is the source of this 4186-nucleotide long non-coding RNA. RefSeq lists it as uncharacterized. The record is from RefSeq and is a predicted model, not a curated record. Lineage: Eukaryota; Metazoa; Arthropoda; Insecta; Diptera; Culicidae. The transcript has 4 exons.